GGAAGACAAGGACUGGAGGCCUGCCAUCACCAUCAAACAGAUUCUUUUGGGAAUCCAAGAACUGCUGAAUGAGCCAAAUAUUCAAGACCCGGCUCAAGCAGAGGCAUACACGAUUUACUGUCAAAACAGGAUGGACUAUGAGAAGCGCGUCCGGGCACAGGCCAAGAAGUUUGCACCC
Long non-coding RNA from Boleophthalmus pectinirostris (great blue-spotted mudskipper), 178 nucleotides. RefSeq lists it as uncharacterized. The transcript is spliced from 3 exons. NCBI's taxonomy places the organism in Eukaryota, Metazoa, Chordata, Actinopteri, Gobiiformes, Gobiidae. The record is from RefSeq and is a predicted model, not a curated record.